AUACACUCUCUCUUCUUCAAAUUUCCCAAAACGUUGGCGUUUGUAUCACCCCCCUCAUUCAAAUCAAACGCUUCAUUCAAAUUUAAGUUAAACCCAGUAUUCAAACCAAGCGCCUCCUUCACGCUACAAUUUCCAUUCAAACUCCCAAUAACAGACCCAUUUUUUCUCAAAGUCUCCACAGCUCCACUCCCUUUCUCCAGAGCUUCAUUCAAAUCA
This 216-nucleotide unclassified non-coding RNA is filed under the name Hevea brasiliensis (rubber tree). Lineage: Eukaryota; Viridiplantae; Streptophyta; Magnoliopsida; Malpighiales; Euphorbiaceae. The record is from RNAcentral.